GCCGGGAAGGGUCGGCCCCGGCUCCGCCUGGUGCUGUUGCCCGUGCUGGUGCUGCCCAGCUCGGGGCCCUGGCGUCCUAGCGUGACCCGGGAGACUCCGCUGGGCGGCCCGGGGCGGUGCCGGCCGCUGUCCGGGCGCCACUGCCCCAAGGUGAGCCUGACCUUCUCCGCUCCAGCGGGUGGGCCUGCGCUCGCCGACCCACCGAAUCCUGGGUUAGCCCGGGCGGACGAGCUCGGCCCCCUCGGCCUGUCGCGGCCCCUGGGCGCCCGCCACCGGCCCAGGGCCCGUGAGGGGACGGGGCGCCGGGGCGGGGGGCUGCGUGUCCCCCCGCCGGGCUUGCAGGCCGCCGGCCAGGGGCCUGGCAAGCCUGCAGGCGCUGGCGGCACAGGCUCAGAUCAGGGAAGGGAAAGAAGGCAGUCAAGGCUGGGUCGGUGGGGAGGAGGUCGAAAGCGCCACGUCCACCCCAUUUUUCAGCUCGAGCCUGAGCUCUCUAGUGGGUUAGCACGAGCCCCCUAAGGAAAGCAGUGUCGGGGGUCCUGAUGCUGGGAAGACGGUGAGUCACGGUCAAUGUCUGGGAGCCGCAGCGCGCAAGUAUUCAAGUCUGAGGAGCUGGAGUUGCAGGUAGAGUAAUACGUAAGACUUCUAGGCUUCCUGUUAGGUCCAGGAAUAUCUGGUAUGAGUAACAGCUUGGAGGUGCUGCCGCUGAGUCACUAGAGGGCUUUUGAGUUCCGAUUGCGUAAAGAGGCGUGUCAGCACCCUUUUCGAGGGCGCCCAAGCAGAACACACGCUACGGCAAGCGAAACCUGCGCUCCUUCGUUUGUAAUGGUGGAAACUGAAAAAAAACGUCGAACAGCUGAUGGAGUUUUAUUACACCACCCCAACAAGGUACUACUGCAGGGAACUGAAAAUUAAGAGGCUAAACCGUUGUUAUGCCUUGGGGGAAGGUGUGAACUGGCGAGAUGAAGAAAGGAGCUGAUUUUAUCAGGCACAGCAUAGUAACCAGCAUAAAGAAAGUGGUCAGAAGGGAUUCAGCCAGAAAAUUAGCAAGCGGAGCACAGGAUUAGGCCUCUAAAGAAUAUAUUGGUGCUUGACCUUCCUCUUAGUUAUCAAUGACGUUCAUCAGUACAAAUUAAAUACACCGUAGAAUGUAAAAUCAUGACUGGACUAUGCCAAUGAUAAUCUAUUAAAUAAAAUGUUUUAAAUGUUA
Molecule: long non-coding RNA, 1207 nt
Organism: Balaenoptera ricei (Rice's whale)
Lineage: Eukaryota; Metazoa; Chordata; Mammalia; Artiodactyla; Balaenopteridae
Exons: 2
Source: RefSeq, a predicted model, not a curated record